UUGCUUUGCCUCUCCAACUCCUUGAUCGGCGACGGCGGCGGCGAGCUGAGCGAGACUGGGGUGCGGCGAGCUGGAGGUGGGCGGCGCAGGUGGUAUGGAAGGCUAGGGUAUUAUUGCGUGAGAGAUCGUACGGUCACUACCAUGUGGGGUCCAGUGGGUUGAUGCCACACCCACAGCGUUGGCGGACAUGCCAGAGGCAUCUUCUUUAAAGCAAGACGCAUAUGAGGAGCAUGCGGCCAAAGACGGGAAAUCAUAAAUGUGUGUGUCAGUCGUCGUGUGGGCUCCUAGCUUACUCUGUAUGACUGGUGGGACCCGUGUGUUGUUCGGAGGGCGUUCAUUAGAAGGCAAGUGCCGUGUACUCGCAGACCAUCGAUGAAAUGGAAUGAACUCUCUCCCCAAGUCUUCUUCCUCGUCUAGUUGUCUGUCUCCUCCCAAUUUCUCUCACCGAAUUUCAUCACCUACCUUUGCCGUCGGUUCCGACGACCGCUCGUCGGCGUCGGGACAUGACAAAUUGUAUUAGAGCCUUGCCCGUCGGUCCUGAUUUUGCUGCAUAAUCUCUAUUUUCCUCCCAUAAAUCCCACGAGGGAAGGUUGCGAGUUACUUCGGCGACGAGCUGUAAAUCUGUUACCUAGGGUUCGGUGGAUUUAAUUUGGAACUUGGUGGAUUUCUCUGAGAAAGGUAGGACACCAAGUUCGGCAAGCGGUAGGAGCGAUGGAGGAGUUCAAGAAGACAUCGGUCCAGCGCUUGGAGCGGAUCGAGCUCAAGGGCGGUGGGGUUGAUGAUGUGAAUGAGCUACAACUCGACCAAUUGGACCAGAAGUUUGCAGAUCAGGUGAAGAGGAUGGAUCAAGUGCAGAUGAAGGUCGAUCUAUCCAUUACCUCACUGCGGUUCCAACCAUGGGUGAUGGGAUCUCGACUUUCGACUACCUCGGUGCCGCUUCAUAUGGGCCCUGUGCCGCAGGUGCCAUAGCAUAGGGCUAUGUUUUUGUUUUGUAAAGCAAGGACUGCUUUGGAGUUUGGCCUUCUCUGCUUGAUGGUAGAGAAAAGCACAGGACAUAUGCUGGAAAGAGAAAAGGAAUUGCACCUCCAUCACGGCAAGAAGAUGCUAAAGGAAAGGGUUAAUUGGAUUGGGACCAUUAUAAUUUGUCAAAGUUAGAAAUAUACCACUACAAUUCUUCAUAUUAGAGCUACUAGAACUGACAGCAAGAGCUUCCGCGCGUCAGAACCAUAGUCACAAAGUUCCUGGGUCGACCGGGUCGAGGAACGGGGUCGAGAGUCGAGGGUCGCCACUUUAUAAAAUUGUGGUAUGAAGGGGGUAUACCUCUGUGGAACGAUAAAUUAUUAUGUGGAGCGUGACCCUAAUUCAUCCGGGUCGA
Molecule: long non-coding RNA, 1375 nt
Organism: Panicum virgatum (switchgrass)
Lineage: Eukaryota; Viridiplantae; Streptophyta; Magnoliopsida; Poales; Poaceae
Exons: 2
Source: RefSeq, a predicted model, not a curated record